GAUGAACGCUGGCGGCGUGCCUAACACAUGCAAGUCGAGCGAGUGAGUUCUUCGGAACGAUCUAGCGGCGGACGGGUGAGUAACACGUGGGCAACCUGCCUCAUAGAGGGGAAUAGCCUCCCGAAAGGGAGAUUAAUACCGCAUAAAAUUAUCGAGUGGCAUCACAUGAUAAUCAAAGGAGUAAUCCGCUAUGAGAUGGGCCCGCGGCGCAUUAGCUAGUUGGUGAGGUAAUGGCUCACCAAGGCGACGAUGCGUAGCCGACCUGAGAGGGUGAUCGGCCACAUUGGGACUGAGACACGGCCCAGACUCCUACGGGAGGCAGCAGUGGGGAAUAUUGCACAAUGGGGGAAACCCUGAUGCAGCAACGCCGCGUGAGUGAUGAAGGUCUUCGGAUUGUAAAGCUCUGUCUUUGGGGACGAUAAUGACGGUACCCAAGGAGGAAGCCACGGCUAACUACGUGCCAGCCGCCGCCGUAA
RNAcentral lists this ribosomal RNA (476 nucleotides) under uncultured bacterium. Its description in RNAcentral is "partial 16S ribosomal RNA". It matches the Rfam family "Bacterial small subunit ribosomal RNA", at positions 28 to 523 of the family's 1533-position model. The record is from RNAcentral.